This 1366-nucleotide long non-coding RNA is filed under the name Capra hircus (goat). RNAcentral's name for it is "lncRNA (ENSCHIG00000005057.1)". Lineage: Eukaryota; Metazoa; Chordata; Mammalia; Artiodactyla; Bovidae. The record is from RNAcentral.
GGGGGCGCCGCGCGCACAGGAGCUCUGCCGCGAGCGUCGGUUGUCGGUUUCGCUCAGGACUCUGCUCCUUGGCGUCUUGAACAGAAACUGGGACCUUGUAGGGACUCAACCAGGUUUCUAUAACUCCCAAGCUGCAGCUGUUCCUGCUUGACGGUACAGAAAGGAAUCAGGUGUGGAAGGACCCAGGAAGGAAGGGGAGAAAAAAAGCGACUCUAGCAAAAUGCAGAAAUACACAGAUCAAAAACUAAACAGAAAAUGUGGACAGCAGACCUUGCCCCUUUGAAAUGUAAGAACUGAAGGGGCACUUAGGGGAGAAUUGGAAGUAAGUGGGGGCAAUGAUAACGUUGACUAGAUCUAGGUUAGGACUGUGGGUGAUUUUCUGCCUGGACUUCUGUUAUUUCAGUAUAGCUACUUUUGUGACUUUUUAUAAUCACACACCAGGAGAAAGUGCCCCGUGUCCUCAGAAACAUCUCUUUUCUCUUUCUUUCUUCUUUUAAUAACUGAAGAGGGCAGGGCAAGUUUCCUAACAGGGAAGAGGGAAUUGCCCCUUAAAAGACUCCUACCGCACUUCCUGCUUGCCUGUUGUGUUAAAAAACUGCAGGCAUCGAGUCUGGUGAAGAAGGAAACAAAAAUGAACAGCAGCAAUUUCCUUUGAUCUGGAGUCUGGCCCCCUUUCUUCCUCUUUCUUAAAAAUCUAAUUUGUCAACUGCGGUAUCCUCAGUGCUUGGCAUACAUUAAAUGUUCAAUCAACACUUGAGUGAAUAGAUGACAGUUAGGCGAGUGACCUCUGGUAUGUUGGGACACGUUUGGGGUCCAGAACUUAUGGGAAGAUGCAUGCUCCCCACCAGGCGGCGCAGCGCAGCUCCGUGGGUUUCGCUGGCUCCUGGCCCAAGGAGUCCCCGCUUCGACCGAACUCUCAUCCUCCUGCAGCAGCUGUCGGUGAUGCUCCCACUUCAUCUUCAGGAUCUUGUCAGGGGAAGGCACGAAAGCCAGGAUUCUUUUAAAUACAUACCAGAAGGUGUCUUUGAAUGAAAAUUCUUAAUUUAGCAAGACUUAGAAAGAUGGUAUCUAUAGUACUGUAUCAAUUUUUAAAAAGGGCAACCAAAAAAACAAUUACAAAAAAGAAAACAGAAUAAAGAAAGACAGCCAGAUAUACUGCCUCCUGAGCGAAUCCUGGAAGCAGCAAAUGUCACAUUUGUAAUGAACAGUUUUCUAGUAGGGGCUUCCCUCAUGGUCCAGGGGCUAAGACUCUGUGCUCACAAUGCAAAGGGGCCCGGUUGGGCACUAGAUCCCACAUGCCUCAACUAAAGACACCGCAUGCCUCUGCUAGACCUGGUGCAGCCAAAUAAAUAAAUAUUUUAGAAAA